AUUGAACGCUGGCGGAAUGCUUUACACAUGCAAGUCGAACGGCAGCACGAGGGCAACCUUGGUGGCGAGUGGCGAACGGGUGAGUAAUACAUCGGAACGUGCCCAGUCGUGGGGGAGUAACGUAGCGAAAGACUACGCUAAUACCGCAUACGAUCUAUGGAUGAAAGACGGGGGACCGGUAAGGCCUCGCGCGAUUGGAGCGGCCGAUGGCAGAUUAGGUAGUUGGUGGGGUAAAGGGCUCACCAAGCCUGCGAUCUGUAGCUGGUCUGAGAGGAUGAUCAGCCACACUGGGACUGAGACACGGCCCAGACUCCUACGGGAGGCAGCAGUGGGGAAUUUUGGACAAUGGGGGCGAACCCUGAUCCAGCCAUGCCGCGUGAGUGAAGAAGGCC
RNAcentral lists this ribosomal RNA (392 nucleotides) under uncultured bacterium. Its description in RNAcentral is "bacterial SSU rRNA". It matches the Rfam family "Bacterial small subunit ribosomal RNA", at positions 29 to 416 of the family's 1533-position model. The record is from RNAcentral.